GGUUGAGUGGGUUAAUUUCGAUCCUACAGCCUGCAAGGAUGCUGAUCAAGUUUCGUGAAAAACUAUUCCGCAGGGCAUGUGUAGCUCAACCGCAACUUGAUUUUGGAAAAUUCCUCGCAGGCUCUUCGCUGGACAGGAAAAAUUAAAGGAAAAGUACACAUACAGUGGAAAACUCAAGGAGAAAUCCAAUUGAAAGAAUCUGCAAUCAAGAGUAUGAAAAUUAUUUGCUGG
Drosophila miranda is the source of this 231-nucleotide long non-coding RNA. RefSeq lists it as uncharacterized. The record is from RefSeq and is a predicted model, not a curated record. The transcript is spliced from 2 exons. NCBI's taxonomy places the organism in Eukaryota, Metazoa, Arthropoda, Insecta, Diptera, Drosophilidae.